RNAcentral lists this ribosomal RNA (449 nucleotides) under uncultured bacterium. RNAcentral's name for it is "partial 16S ribosomal RNA". It matches the Rfam family "Bacterial small subunit ribosomal RNA", at positions 29 to 523 of the family's 1533-position model. The record is from RNAcentral.
AACGAACGCUGGCGGCAGGCCUAACACAUGCAAGUCGAACGCCCUAGCAAUAGGGAGUGGCAGACGGGUGAGUAACACGUGGGAACGUGCCCUUCGGUUCGGAAUAACUCAGGGAAACUUGAGCUAAUACCGGAUACGUGCGAGAGCAGAAAGAUUUAUCGCCGGAGGAUCGGCCCGCGUCCGAUUAGCUAGUUGGUGAGGUAAUGGCUCACCAAGGCGACGAUCGGUAGCUGGUCUGAGAGGAUGACCAGCCACACUGGGACUGAGACACGGCCCAGACUCCUACGGGAGGCAGCAGUGGGGAAGAUUGGACAAUGGGCGCAAGCCUGAUCCAGCCAUGCCGCGUGAGUGAUGAAGGCCCUAGGGUUGUAAAGCUCUUUCGCCAGGGACGAUAAUGACGGUACCUGGAUAAGAAGCCCCGGCUAACUUCGUGCCAGCAGCCGCCGUAA